This is a long non-coding RNA of Hypanus sabinus (Atlantic stingray), 4320 nucleotides long. RefSeq lists it as uncharacterized. The record is from RefSeq and is a predicted model, not a curated record. NCBI's taxonomy places the organism in Eukaryota, Metazoa, Chordata, Chondrichthyes, Myliobatiformes, Dasyatidae. The transcript has 3 exons.
GAUUUAUAAUCACACACAUCGACUUUCUAUACGGAAUCACGUUUUGUGGCGAAACUGUGACGCCUUCGGCUCUUUUUAUAAAUCAUUUAUCAUCAACACAUGUCGUCAAAGAAAUGGAAAGCUUGUUCCGAGAGCAAUCAACAAGAAAUAUGCCAUCAUCAUAGAUGAAUCUACAGACAUUUCAACAGAAAAACACUUAUGUAUUUUAGUUUGAUUUUUAAGUGACAGGACAAAGGAAGUUGUAACUGGGUUUCUAGGUUUGAUUCCAGUGCAAGAGGCUGCAAGAGAAAACGUAUUCAAUUUGAUUGACAAGGAAAUGAAAAGUUGUGGCCAGAGUCUUGGAAAUUGCAUUGGUUUUGCAUCUAAUGGUGCAUCAGACAUGGUUGGAUGCAUCAAUUCUGUGUGGUCUAGACUAAAAGAUGUCUCCUUUCGGUGUAAACCCUUCAUCUGCUUGGUGGCUUCUGCAUGGAAAAGUUUUGAUGAACUGGGAAGAGCUAAAGGGUUAUUUCACUUCUGCUGAACUAGCCCAAUCAAAGUUUGGUACAAAAUUCAAAGCAAGACGCCUAAAGGAAAUGUUGUCAUUCAGACUACAAAAACUAUUUGUUCUUUGAGUUUGCAACACCUGUUGUGCAUGAAUUUGAAAGACUGAACAGCCUUUUUCAGCAAACCAAAGCUGAUACUUAUGAAUUUUACCAACAAGUAUUCUUACACCAGAAGAGUCUUCAGUGCAGACUGUAUGAUGCCAAAAGACAGAAAAAAAAUAUUGAUGAAGUUGAUUUUGGUAUCAAAUUCUUAACAGCAUGUAGUAAGGUCCUACAGCAGAACAUUGGCCCAUCUAGAAAUAAAAAAUGUCAAAGAAAGAUGUAUGUCUAUGCUAGAAGAAGCUCUCAGUCAAGUUACAUGUAGACUUUCAUCAACGAGAGAUACAUUUGAAAGUUUAUCAAAAUUGAGCCCUGUGAUAUUUUUAAAUCAAGACUCAAGGCCCAUGUUUUCCGAGUUACCCUUUAUACACCUUGCAGGAAACAACGUCGGCAUUAUUGAAGAACAAUACAGAAAAAUGCCUUUUGUCGACUGGAACGAAGAAGCUCCAUUUAAGAAAGACGGACUCCCGACAGACACUGAACAGUUUUGGAUUGGUGUACUUCACCAUCAGGCAUUUAAAGAGGUUGCCACCUUUGCCCUUACUUGCCUAACUACCCCUGUCAGCAAUGCUGUAGUUGUGAGGAUAUUUUCUCUUGCAUGCUCUGGUAAAACAAAGGCAAGAAACAGAAUGCAGCUGAAUCUUCUUGAUGCUACGGUGAGAAUCAGGGCAAAAUUAUUGAUUUCAGGAAUGUGUUGCAAAGACUUCACUGCAUCUCCAGAAAUGCUAAAAAACUUCACAUCGGACAAGGUUUAUGCUGCACGUUCCACUCAUUCCUGUGAAGAGAAUAGUGAUGACCUGGAUCUGGAGCUUUUCAUGUGAUAACAACCAGACUGUUAGAGCAUUGGGAAGCUUUUCAAAGCCAACAGAGGCAACUAAAAGAAGACAAAAAGAUGGAAUACAAAGGUCAGCUCCAUCUUGGGUACUGGCCUACAAAGGACCCAGGACAUCUUCAGGGAGUGGUGUCUCAGAAAGGCAGUGUCCAUUAUUAAGCCCUUUUCUCACUGUUACCAUCAGGUAGGAGGUACAGAAGCCUGAAGGCAUACACUCAGUGAUUCAGGAACGGCUUCUUCCCCUCUGCCAUCCAAUUCCUAAAUGGACAUUGAAUCUUUAGACAACACUUUUUAAAAAAUAUACAGUAUUGCUCUUUUUGCACAUUUUAUAUAGUCUAUUCAAUAUGCAUAAUUGAUUUAGUUAUUUAUUAUUAACUUUUUUCUCUCUGCUAGAUUAUGUAUUGUAUUGAACUGCUGCUGCUAAGUUAACAAGUUUAAUGUCACAUGGCAGUGAUAAUAAACCUGAUUCUGAAAAGUUACUUCAGAUAUAUAAAGAGAGGCAAGAGUAGAUUUUGGACUGCUGUAAAACGACGCUGGAGAGGUAGGAUGUGAGGAGUCGGAUAUAGUGGAUGAAAUGAAUAAGUAUUUUGCACCAGUCUUCACUGUGGAAGACACUGACAGUAUGCUGGAAGUUUAAGUGUGUCAGGAGCUGGAGUGAGUGAAGUUGUCAUUGCUAAGGAGAAGGUGCUUGGGAAACAGAAAGGUCUGAAGGUAGAUAAAUCACCUGGACCAGAUUGUCUACACCCCAGGUUUCUAAAAGUGGUGGCAGAGGACAUUGUGGGGGCAAGAGUGAUGAGAAUGAAUAUAUUCUGCUGUGGUUCCGGAGGGCUGGAAAAUUGCAAAAUUCACUCCACUAUUCAAGAAGGAGAAAGGAAAUUAUCAGCCAGUUAGUCUGACCGCAGUGGUUGGCAAGAUAUCAGUGGCAAUUGUUCAGGAUGUGGUUAAGGACUCGAAAGCACAUGAUAAAAUAGGCCGUAGUCAACCUGCUUUCCUUAAGAGAAAAUCUUGCCUGACAAAUCCACUGGAAUUCUUUGCGGAAAUAACAAAUGAGAAUGAGUGGAUGUUGUGUAUUUGGAUUUACAAAGGGCCUUUGACCAGGUGCCACACAUGAGGCUGUUUGACAAGUUGAGAGCCCAUGGUGUUGGAGGAAGGAAUAUAGCACGGAUAGAGCAUUGGCUUAUUGGCAGGAGGCAAAGAGUGGGAAUAAAGGGAGCCUUUUCUGUUUGGCUGCUAUUGGUAUUCCACGGGGUCUGUGUUGGGACCGAUUCUUUUUAUGUUUUACAGUAUGUCAGUGAUUUCAGUGAUGGAAUUAAUGACUUUGUAGCCAGGUUUUCAGACAAUAUGAACAUAGGUGGAGUGGCAGAUGGAACACAGUGUCAAGAACUGUAUGAUCAUGCACUUUGGUAGAAGAAAUAAAAGUGUAGAGUGUUUUCUUAAUGGAGGGAAAUUUAAAAAUCUGAGACACAAAGGGACUUGGGAGUCCUCGUGCAGGAUUCCCCAAAGGUUAAUCUGCAGGUUGUGUUGGUGGAGUGGAAGAAAAAUGCGACGAUAGCAUUUAUUUCAAGAUGACUAGAAUAUAAAUGGAAGGAUGUAAGGUUGAGGCUUUGUAAGGCCCUAGUGGGGCUUCGCUUGGAGUAUUGCGAGAGGUUUACGCCUUUUAUUUAAGAAAAGAUGUGUUGGCAUUGGAGAGGGUUCAUGAUUCUAGGAGUGAAAUGCUUAUCAUGUGAGGAGAGUCUGGUGGCUCUGUGCCUGUUCUUUGUGGAAUUCAGGAUAAUGAGGGGAGAUCUCAAUCAACCUCUCAAAUGUAACAGGCAUCGAUAGAGUGAAUGUGGAGAGGAUGUUUCCACUGGUGGGGGUCUCAGAUCAGAGGAUACAUCCUCAGGACAGAGGGACGUCCAUUUAAAACGGAGAUAAGGAGGAAUUUCUUUAGCCACAGGAGUGAAUCUGUGGAAUUCUUCUCCACAUUGGAGAGGAUGUUUCCACUGGUGGGGGUCUCAGAUCAGAGGACACAUCCUCAGAACAGAGGGACGUCCAUUUAAAAUGGAGAUAAGGAGGAAUUUCUUUAGCCACAGGAGUGAAUCUGUGGAAUUCUUCUCCACAUUGGAGAGGAUGUCUCCACUGGUGGGGGUCUCAGAUCAGAGGACACAUCCUCAGAACAGAGGGAUGUCCAUUUAAAACGGAGAUAAGGAGGAAUUUCUUUAGCCACAGGAGUGAAUCUGUGGAAUUCUUCUCCACAUUGGAGAGGAUGUUUCCACUGGUGGGGGUCUCAGAUCAGAGGAUACAUCCUCAGAACAGAGGGACGUCUAUUUAAAACGGAGAUAAGGAGGAAUUUCUUUAGCCACAGGAGUGAAUCUGUGGAAUUCGUCUCCACAUUGGGUAUAUUUAAGGCAGAGGUUGAUCGAUUCUUGCUGGGUCAGGAAGGCAGGAUAUUAGGGCUGCCUAAUAGUAGGUAUUAGAGAGGGAAAUGAUGAAAGUGGCAGAGCAGACUCGAUGGACCAAAUGGCCUAAUUCUGCCCCGAUAUCUAACGGUCCAAGUCUAUGGCUGGAAAGUCCUGACACGUAAACUAGAUGACACUUGGUCACUGGAUGAUCCAGGUUAGGUGAGUAGGAGUUGGACAGAACCCCCACGUUUGACCAUCACAAGGAGUUAAUCAUAAAGCCCACUCCACCUUUUUAAAUGCCUUAACACCAUAUCACAUCCUGUAUUGUCCAUGGGUGUAGCUGUGUUUCAGAUGCAGCAGUCUAAAAUGAGAAUAUUGGACAAUUAUCAUCGGAGCUACUUACAGGAGUCACCUUCUUAAUGGUGCCCCAAAAGCUAAUGCUUUCAUCACAUGUGUAAAAAAAUAA